CAGCCGCCGCGGUAAUACGAAGGGGGCUAGCGUUGAUCGGAAUUACUGGGCGUAAAGCGUGCGUAGGCGGUUCGAUAAGUCAGUUGUGAAAGCCCUGGGCUCAACCUGGGAAUUGCAGUCGAUACUGGAGAGCUAGAGUACGGUAGAGGGAGGUGGAACUCCGGGUGUAGCGGUGAAAUGCGUAGAUAUCUGGAGGAACACCGAUGGCGAAGGCAAUCUCCUGGGCCUGUACUGACGCUCAGGCACGAAAGCGUGGGUAGCAAACAGGAUUAGAUACCCCAGUAGUCCCUGUCUCUUAUAC
RNAcentral lists this ribosomal RNA (301 nucleotides) under uncultured bacterium. RNAcentral's name for it is "partial 16S ribosomal RNA". It matches the Rfam family "Bacterial small subunit ribosomal RNA", at positions 509 to 807 of the family's 1533-position model. The record is from RNAcentral.